GAUGAACGCUGGCGGCGUGCCUAAUACAUGCAAGUCGAGCGAACAGACGAGGAGCUUGCUCCUCUGACGUUAGCGGCGGACGGGUGAGUAACACGUGGAUAACCUACCUAUAAGACUGGGAUAACUUCGGGAAACCGGAGCUAAUACCGGAUAAUAUAUUGAACCGCAUGGUUCAAUAGUGAAAGACGGUUUUGCUGUCACUUAUAGAUGGAUCCGCGCCGCAUUAGCUAGUUGGUAAGGUAACGGCUUACCAAGGCAACGAUGCGUAGCCGACCUCAGAGGGUGAUCGGCCGCACUGGAACUGAGACACGGUCCAGACUCCUACGGGAGGCAGCAGUAGGGAAUCUUCCGCAAUGGGCGAAAGCCUGACGGAGCAACGCCGCGUGAGUGAUGAAGGUCUUCGGAUCGUAAAACUCUGUUAUUAGGGAAGAACAAAUGUGUAAGUAACUAUGCACGUCUUGACGGUACCUAAUCAGAAAGCCACGGCUAACUACGUG
RNAcentral lists this ribosomal RNA (497 nucleotides) under uncultured bacterium. RNAcentral's name for it is "partial 16S ribosomal RNA". It matches the Rfam family "Bacterial small subunit ribosomal RNA", at positions 28 to 507 of the family's 1533-position model. The record is from RNAcentral.